GGCCUCAAGUGAUGGAGACACACUGUGGGAGAACCGUGACCGUAUUGGAAUGUGUUCGUACUGUCUGAUGGGCU
Ictidomys tridecemlineatus (thirteen-lined ground squirrel) is the source of this 74-nucleotide non-coding RNA. Lineage: Eukaryota; Metazoa; Chordata; Mammalia; Rodentia; Sciuridae. The record is from Rfam.